This 253-nucleotide ribosomal RNA is filed under the name uncultured bacterium. Its description in RNAcentral is "partial 16S ribosomal RNA". It matches the Rfam family "Bacterial small subunit ribosomal RNA", at positions 524 to 776 of the family's 1533-position model. The record is from RNAcentral.
UACGGAGGGUGCGAGCGUUGUCCGGAAUUACUGGGCGUAAAGCGUGCGCAGGCGGUUUUGUAAGCCAGAUGUGAAAUCCCCGGGCUUAACCUGGGAAUGGCAUUUGGGACUGCAAGGCUGGAGUUUGGCAGAGGAGACUGGAAUUCCUGGUGUAGCAGUGAAAUGCGUAGAUAUCAGGAGGAAUACCGAUGGCGAAGGCAGGUCUCCGGGCUAUAACUGACGCUCAUGCACGAAAGCGUGGGGAGCAAACAGG